GCGUCCGUCACACGAUGCGGAAGAUCGCGGACAAUUUCGGAUCCAAAAUGCGUCCCCGCUGGAGAUGCCCUCACGGCGCUCAGGCUCACGCCCAUGUCUUCUCCCUCCCCCUGCUGCAGAAUUCCUCCCUAGUUCACUCCGCCGGCGGCCAGGACAGGGCCUCCCCUGGUUCGCGUCCGCCGAGGCCAGGACCGGCCUCUCCCCUGGUACCCCUCCGCAGGCGGCAGGACAGGCCCCUGCCCUGGUUCCCCUCCGCCGGCGACAAGAAGGGCCCCUCCCCUGGUUUCCCUCGGCCGGCGACAGGACAGGCCCCUCCCCUGGUUCCCCUCUGCGGGCGCCAAGAUCGCGCCUAUCCCUCCCUCCGCGCGGCUGCCGCGAGUUCUACCCCCUACUCUGCCUCUCGCCACUGCCGCAACGGCCGCCCCCUCCCCUGCCUCGCCGCUGCUCACCGGAAGCCAAGCGAGCAUGUUGGCAUGUGCUUUUCAUCAUUCUGCCGGUAUGUAGAAGCUCAUCAUUUAUACUUGCUGGACUACUUGGAAAGAAGUCUACAUGACCCCCCUAACUAUCAGGUUUGGGACACUAAGCCCCCCUAAGUUUGGAUUGGGGUACUUAACCCCCUUAAGUAUUAUAGGACAAAGCCCGUGCUUCGCUACGGAGCAAGUAUCCGUGAACAGAGAUUUGAUGAGCCAUCCGGUCUUAAAUACUCCGUAUUUGUUAGGCAUGCCACAUAAUGAAUUGACAUGGCUUAAGUUUACUUUCGCAAAACAUGCUUACAUGAAAAGAAAUAGGAGAAUAGCUGGACUAAAUUUUUAACUAAGCUGUCUUGCAAAGUUGCAAAAUAGACAUGAUUGACAUCAUAUCUUGCGGAUACCAGACCUUUUGUUAGCUCUUGGUUUUAGCAUCCCAAAGCAGUGGUCUACAGAGACAAUGCAGAAUUGUCAUCCUCAACAUUCUAAUGUAGAAAAGCAACGAUAAUCCAGACUUCGGAGACACGCCCUACCUGUCCCGCACCCCCUCCUCCCGCCACCGCCACCGGUGGCGCCGCCGGGCAAAGCCCCGGUGGUGUGGCGGCGGCAGGGCGUCUUCUUCUGCUGCGCCGGGUAGCGCCCGGCUUAUUCUUCAUUUGGUGUACUGGGACGGCGCCGAGAUGGUGGAGGCGGCGUCGCGUCGGAAUAAGGGUGUUGGAGCUCGAUCCCCAUCUCGGCAAGGCCACUUGUGGCGGCGCCGGUGAGCUGCUGGCCUGGUUUCCUCUCAGGUCUGCGGAUCGGGGGAGGGGGGAUUCCCCGGGCGCGAUUGAAUUUCGACCCUGCCGUGGAGUUUGCGGAGUCUGUUCUGAAGUCGGAGGAGUGCUGAUGUUGUUGCCUUCUCCUCGGCCGGCUGUGGUGGUGAGGGAGAGGAAGGAGAUGUCACCACUAUCUUCCUUUUUAGAGUUUGUGUUCUUCGGUGGUUUGCGGCUGUCACGUUUUGCAGUUUCUUCCGGCCGGCCUUGGUGGCGAGGGGAGCAGGCGGUUCGACGUGUCAACGCUAAAAUCGGGCAGAUGGUGGAGCAUUCUGCUGGUGGCUUGGAUUUACUGCUCGGGUAUAUUUCUUUGGAGGUACUGCUUGCUCUUCCCCUCCCGCCUGCCCGAUAGUCUGAAAAAAUUAUUAGCUCUCACCCCCCGGAGCGGGCACUCCUUCGGUGUACAGCUCCCCGUCGGAAACUGCUGACACCACAUUUUGUUUCCCCGACGUGCAUUGCAUCGCGUAUUUCUAAAUGCUACGCCCAGUUUGCUCUGACGAUCGCCAGGACCAAGAUGUGGAAGCAGGCGCCAAACACGGAUCUGCGCGGCAGGGCUAUCGACGACAUAAAAUUGAUGCACUCAAGAUUCAAGAGAGCACACAUAUAAACCACCGAAACCAAAAUAGAAUGGAAGUAGUACGUAAACGACAUCUGCACUUUCCUUACUUUCCGGACUGAGAUCGCUUUCGAUGAUGCACGUUGUGCAAUGGAUCUUUGCUAAUUCUGGUAGGAAACGGUAUCUGGAUGUGCUCCGCCUCCUCACGAACCUCAAAAGUUCCAGAUCAAACCAUGAAAGAAGCACACGUACCGAUCCUGUUUUUCUGAACAUUGGUUUGUCCAUGGCCCAUGGCUGCCGAGACAACAGGACGCCGGUUUGGAACAUAUGAAGGCGUCUUUUUUCUGGUGGCCGGGACAUUGAUCGAGUGAGUGGGGUAGGGAUUGUCUCGGCAGGGCCGACGACGAGGACAUGCAAUUGAUGCACUCAGGAUUCAUGUACUCGCGGAUCGUCACCAGCUACGUCUUCUCUGUGGGCGAUGACCGGCUGCCGGUGGCACCGAUUAGAGAGAUCGAGAGACCAAAGUCUCUCCGCUCGCUCUCAUAAGUCGCACGCUCUCGUGUAUACGUAGGCCUGGCGAUCUCGGUCGGGAGCAGAGCGUAGCUGCCGAUGAAACAAUGCGGAAACAAUUCGCUCGUGCAUAUGUAGGCUCAGCGAUCUGAGUCUGGAGCGGAGCCCACGAGCCGACGAAAGAAAACCCUUGAACAAAUAAAACCAGAUCGACCAGAAACUGGAGCAUAACUCGUUCGAUGGCAGGACUUAGAGGCGACAUACGAAAUCUAUGAACUUGUCGUGGUCGGAUACAAAAUCAUUUAUUUGGGAAAGUCACCCGGACGUGUAUGUUUGCUCCUGUACGUUUGCUAGACAAAAUUUCCUUGUAGAACGGGAUUGAACCGGACACUGUUUCUUGUGUCAUAGUCAGUUAGUAAAAAGGGGCGUCCUAGGAAGGCUUAGGACGGACGAAAACGUACAGGCGACGGACGAAAGCGCAAACAUGACGGACCAAACUACGGAAACGCUUCUCCCUUUAUUAUUAGGUAUAGAUAUACCGUGCAAUUGACCCCCUCCACCCAUCUAGAGUGGUAUUGACCGGUGGUUUAGCUGACGUGGACAUUAAUUUAGCAUAGCUAGGCCGAAAAGAUUGGUUCAGCUCUGUCUAAAUCCUCUUCCAACUGAUCGCUGCCGCCCCGCUCGCCCGCUCUGUCCAAAGAGCUGCUCGCCAAUGGCUCCCACUGUAUGCGGCGCCGCCGCCUCUGCCCUCCGCUGACACCCCCACGCCUCGCUUCCCUUGUCACCGGAGCAGCCGAGCAGCCCGGGCACCGCUCGUGCUCCGGCCGCUGCGUGCCUUGUCGCUCGAGUGCCUGCAACCGCAUGCUCCUAGUCCUACAGGCCUCCGCCGGUGUUCCCUCCGCUGCCCCGGUCUUCCUCCGCAGUGGCCGUGGACAGCAUGAGGGCCAUCGUUCUGUUGCCUGAAUAUUUGUUCUUGUUCUGCAGCUGCGCAUGAACCAGAGAAAAGCUGGUGAAUUGAGGAUGCAAGCAAGCUACUGUAUGUCAAUGAAGAAUUACCCACAUGGCCUCAUGUGUCUAGCUACUGACGUUGUGCUACAAGAUCAUGUCCUGAAAUAGUAGAGUUCACUUGAUCUGAAUUUUUGCUCUCCACUCGAUUUUUAGGAUUCCCCUGCUGACUCCAUGUAAAACAUUGGGUUGUCGCUUUGGUCGUCUGUGCAAAUUCAGAGUUAGCUUUAAGACAAUUCAGGGAUCCAAGUUUGCCAAACAGAGAAGAACUAAGCUGAGGAAGCAAUCGAGCUAGUGAUGGAGGGUCACGUCCUGCAAGCUGCGAGCAUAGGAGAUGGCGGGAUUUGCUUCACUCCACGACGGCGGCAUGAAACUGUAUGCGUGUAUGACCAGAAGAGAGCAAGGAUUGCUAGAGGGAAUCCAUGGAGAUGAAAAAAAUAAAAAAAUUCAGCUACCUGCAGCUCCUUGAGCGUGCACUAGCGGCUCCGCUCGAGAUUGAGACACCUGUGGCACCGCCGGCGGCGCGUGGUCCGCCACGCCGUUGCAGCUCUCACAACUGCUGCCCUGCGACGAUGGCUCGCCGCCGCUCCGGUGACUGUGUGUGUGGUGUGGCAUGGGCAUCUUCGUAGCAGCGUCCACAAGGCGGGAGGGGACUACUUGGAAGCAGAGCGAGGACGGGGCGCCUGGCCUCCACUGCCCACGAGGCGAGGAAGCGGAGCAGAGGAGACAAUGCCACUUUAGAAUAGCUAGCGCGUGCCCACGUCAUCAAAACCACCUGCAAUACUGCUAAAACCACCGUGGGGGUUAACUGUCCGGUUUUGCAAACAUAGGGGGGUCACCCCAAUCUAAACUUAGGGGGGGUUAGCGUCCCAAACUUGAUAGUUAGAGGGGUUAUGUAGACUUCUUUCGACUACUUGCAUUGGGGUGCGCCAAAGAUGUGGUAUGGAGUUCCAGGAUAGGAUGCUGUGAAUCUGGAGUCCGCAUUGAGGAAACAUCUACUUGACAUGUUUGAGAUCAACCUGAUUUGCUUCACAACCUGGAUCAGUUAUGACGAUGAACUAAAGAAGCAGCACCUAAUGCUUCUCCACAAUGGAUUGUACCGUAUUAUCACGGGCGAGGCUUGAAAUGUUCGGUUUAUGCCUGAGUGCUUAUGCUAAAUAUUCCACUAUGUAAGGAACAUUUCCAGAAGCAGAGGAUAGGGAAUUCAAUGGGUUCCUUGGAGCCUACACCUAAGCAGAUAGCCUAUCUCAGGAAUAUGGGGUGCACCAUAAUACCCAUGUCUCGCCUCCACGCAUCGAAUCUUAUUGAGAAGUAUAAAUCUCUGUGACCUGUUUAACACCUGAUGAGUUGAAGUGCCACAUGAAGGCUUGUAGAGUUCUUCUUUUCGGGUUGUUGUAGCCUAGUUGUCUUAGCUUUUUCAUGUCUUUCUUUUUAGUUCUGUCGGGUUGUAAGGUUUGUCUCAUUAUUUUGACACUGUUAUAUGUUCGAGAAAUCAAGUCGUGAUGGGCCUAGCUUCGUGUGGCAGCACAGCGGAACUGUUUACGACAGGAUUCUUCGUGGCCCAUGUGUACAUACUAUAUAGUAUAUGAUGUGAAGUAUUGGAAAUCGGUUAUGCACCAGAUACAUUACAGUUACA
Long non-coding RNA from Lolium perenne, 4986 nucleotides. RefSeq lists it as uncharacterized. Lineage: Eukaryota; Viridiplantae; Streptophyta; Magnoliopsida; Poales; Poaceae. The record is from RefSeq and is a predicted model, not a curated record.